RNA transcript from Esox lucius (northern pike), 2436 nucleotides. It is a transcript of the gene named CDP-diacylglycerol--inositol 3-phosphatidyltransferase 1-like, with no coding region annotated. Lineage: Eukaryota; Metazoa; Chordata; Actinopteri; Esociformes; Esocidae. The record is from RefSeq and is a predicted model, not a curated record. The transcript is spliced from 5 exons.
CUCUGACAAUAUCAGAGAAGGCUGCAGUGAUUUUAAUCUACAUUUAUUUUGUGUUUUAACACUUGAUCACCGGUUCAAUGUUUAAUUGGAAAACCAAGCAUUUCAUUGCCAUAACUUGUUAUUGCAAAUGACAAAUAAACCUUUUGAACUUAAUAAACUAGAUUCAAUCGAAAGUAAUUUAAACCUGGACUUAAAAGCGGCCGACAGACAGCGGUACAAUCUGAUGCCGGAUUAAAGUCAUUAGCACUACUUGGUCUCGCUCUGCUUCUAGGUUAGACGAAUUGUGCAUUCAGAGAUCGAUCAUUUGAGCACUGAGUCUAUGAUCUGAAGAGGAUCCGUCUGUUGACAGGCCAAGCCUCCUACAUUGAGACGGAAGUGCAUGAUUAUUUCUGGAGUUCAGCUGUUUCUGAGAUCCUGGAAGUACGACGUUUGGCACCACGGUCAAGGUCACGACCAAUCGCCCGUGUAACCGUAAUGUUUGGUCAAAUAACUAAACCUUUUGACCAUGUCUGCACGAUUUAUAAAUAGAGUUGGGGCGACAUCGUUGUUUGGCUGUAACCGUGAUACCGCAAUAAUGUAUGUUGCUACGUCAACUCCCUAUCGAGAAAAGAGGAAGAGCCAUACGUGUUCAUGUAUAGAAGACCUGUGAAUGAGAGUUGCAACUCUCCGGUGGGGAUAGUCAAAAUAAGUGAUUCAUUUGCAAGAUUUCGAUAUGUUUUGUCGCUAAAAGGAUGCGUCUUUGUUCGGGACGGUGCUGUGCUUCUGUUUGAUGUGGAGACAUUAUCAUAUUUAAGAUUAGGCUACUUUGGUAACCGACUAACAACAAGCGACUCAAUAUGGGGCAUGAGGUUUUUGUUUAUUGGCCCAAUAUCCUUGGAUAUAUCCGUCUUGUACUUAUCUUUACUGCUUGGAAUGCCUUCAACAAUCCAGCUGUGUUCUUCACCUCCUAUUCGAUCUCAGUCAUUCUAGAUGGGCUGGAUGGCUGGACGGCUCGCCGGUUCAGUCAGACUUCCAGGUUCGGGGCCUGGCUGGACGUGGUGGUGGACAACCUUGGGAGGAGUAUGGUGUGGGGCCAGCUCUAUGAGGUACGUAGAUUUGGUACCUACAACAAACAGACCGUACAUGUCCCCUGGACAUAUGAUGUGGGGCCAGCUCUAUGAGGUACAUAGAUUUGGUACCUACAACAAACAGGGACCGUACAUGUCCCCUGGACGUAUGGUGUGGGGCCAGCUCUAUGAGGUACGUAGGUUUGGUACCUACAACAAACAGGGACCGCACAUGUCCCCUGGACGUAUGGUGUGGGGCCAGCUCUAUGAGUGGGGCUGGCUGGUGUCUUCAGUGGAGUGGUGUGUGUUUGUGUGCAACCACAAUGCCCAUGGCGCCCAGUGGACGAACAGCUUCACAAACAGUCCUCAGUGGGUAAAGACCAUCAUGGCUAAAAGUGGGUAAUUUACAGACAGCCCUCUGUGGGUACAGACCUUCAUGGCUAAAGGUGGGUAUACAGUUCUUACCCUAUGAGAUCUGGAGCCUGCUGGUUUUCCUUUAAAACCUCCUCAUUAAUGUCACCCACCUGGUGUCAGGUCCACAUCAGUCCCUGAUUAAAGGGUUCCAAUGAAGAAACAGUGGAAUUGGCUUCAAGACAAAGAACUGGGUUUGGGGAAUGCAGUCUAUCUAUGACUUUGGCUGUAUGGGUACCAGCAGGGAGUGCUCACCCAGGCUCUCUGUGCCCCCCUCUGGCUGCAGACAUUGGGCACUCUGGUCCUGGCUGCAGGAAGGCUGGAAGGCUGGGCCUCUCAGUAGAGAUAUGGUGCAUAUGGGCUCACAUCAAACACCUGACCGAUGAAGAGGUGAAGAGCUAGUGAAAACAAACUACUGAAGGACGGCCGGGACUGCACUGCAGUAUUACUCAGUUCUUAUUUCCCCAGUGGUAAUAUUGGGGGUAUUUUAGAAAGCAGGUUUAGUGAAAACCUAGAGUUGGUUGAAUCAGAGUUAUAAUGUUAGAAAACAUGAACGUGACACCACAGUGACAAUUAAACAACUUUUUUAAUUAAAUACAAUGUGCUUUUUAAAAGGCACGAAUCAAAGGAUCUCAGUCAAAACAAAGUGCUUGUCAUAAAUUCAAACAAACGGAAAAGGAAAUGACAAAAUGUGUUUUAAAGUACAUUAAGUGUUAAUAGUUCCAUAUUCUGAUAGUGGUCAUUGCUACAGAGGGUAGUGUAACCGGUGUAGUAGGUGUGUAAAAUAAGGAGCCAACGCAGGGAGGUAGUUUAGAUCUCUAAAUUCUAUUUCAAAAGGCACGCGUAAAAUACUCAGGCGCACAGGCGCAAAACAAGCGUGCAGACAGCUUACACAAUGUACACCGCUCAUAGAACAAUACCACACAAAGACAGCCAGAAACACAGGAACUUAUAUAUGCGAUCUAAUGAGGGAAUGGAC